GGCGGUUCUCAGAUGAUGCACCCUGGAAUCGGGCUCCCUCUUCUCUGGUUCUGAGUGCAUCACCCAAGAACUGCC
Myotis lucifugus (little brown bat) is the source of this 75-nucleotide non-coding RNA. The record is from Rfam. Lineage: Eukaryota; Metazoa; Chordata; Mammalia; Chiroptera; Vespertilionidae.